AGCGAACCGGGGGAACUGAAACAUCUAAGUACCCCGAGGAAAAGAAAUCAACCGAGAUUCCCCCAGUAGCGGCGAGCGAACGGGGAGCAGCCCAGAGUCUGAAUCAGCUUGUGUGUUAGUGGAACGGUCUGGAAAGUCCGACGGUACAGGGUGAUAGUCCCGUACACCAAAAUGCACAGGUUGUGAACUCGAAGAGUAGGGCGGGACACGUGGUAUCCUGUCUGAAUAUGGGGGGACCAUCCUCCAAGGCUAAAUACUCCUGACUGACCGAUAGUGAACCAGUACCGUGAGGGAAAGGCGAAAAGAACCCCGGCGAGGGGAGUGAAAAAGAACCUGAAACCGUGUACGUACAAGCAGUGGGAGCCUCUUUAUGGGGUGACUGCGUACCUUUUGUAUAAUGGGUCAGC
This 407-nucleotide ribosomal RNA is filed under the name Citrobacter freundii. RNAcentral describes it as "partial 23S ribosomal RNA". It matches the Rfam family "Bacterial large subunit ribosomal RNA", at positions 178 to 624 of the family's 2925-position model. Lineage: Bacteria; Pseudomonadati; Pseudomonadota; Gammaproteobacteria; Enterobacterales; Enterobacteriaceae. The record is from RNAcentral.